This 438-nucleotide ribosomal RNA is filed under the name uncultured eukaryote. RNAcentral describes it as "bacterial SSU rRNA". It matches the Rfam family "Eukaryotic small subunit ribosomal RNA", at positions 592 to 1018 of the family's 1831-position model. The record is from RNAcentral.
CAAUAGCGUAUAUUAAAGUUGUUGCAGUUAAAAGCUCGUAGUUGAAUUUCUGGAUGUGAAAGGUGGUCCGUUCCUCACGGAAUGCGUACUUUCCAUUUAUGUCCAUCCUCGGAGUUAGUGUGUAUUACUUUAAUCGGUCGUGCAUACAACCUCCGUCAUUUACUGUGAGCAAAAUAGAGUGUUCAAAGCAGGCUUAUGCCGUUGAAUAUAUUAGCAUGGAAUAAUAAGAUAUGACUUUGGUCUAUUUUGUUGGUUUGCACUCCAAAGUAAUGAUUAAUAGGGACAGUUGGGGGCGAUUAGUAUUUAAUUGUCAGAGGUGAAAUUACUUGGAUUUAUUGAAAGAACUAACUAACUGCGAAAGACAUUUGUCCAACGGAAUGUUUUCUAUUAAUACAAGAAACGAAAGUUAAGGGGUAGUCGAAGACGAUCAGAUACCGU